RNAcentral lists this transfer RNA (53 nucleotides) under Avena wiestii. RNAcentral describes it as "partial tRNA-His". The record is from RNAcentral. Lineage: Eukaryota; Viridiplantae; Streptophyta; Magnoliopsida; Poales; Poaceae.
GGCGGAUGUAGCCAAGUGGAUCAAGACAGUGGAUUGUGAAUCCACCAUGCGCG